This 254-nucleotide unclassified non-coding RNA is filed under the name uncultured bacterium. RNAcentral describes it as "contains 16S-23S intergenic spacer region". It matches the Rfam family "Bacterial small subunit ribosomal RNA", at positions 524 to 776 of the family's 1533-position model. The record is from RNAcentral.
UACGGAGAGGGCAAGCGUUGUUCGGAUUUAUUGGGCGUAAAGCGCGUGCAGGCGGUUCAGUAAGUCAGAUGUUAAAGACCCACGGCUCACCCGGGGGCCUGCGUCUGAUACUGCUGGACUAGAGUGCGAAAGAGGAGAGCGGAAUUCCUGGUGUAGCGGUGAAAUGCGUAGAUAUCAGGAGGAACACCCGUGGCGAAGGCGGCUCUCUGGUUCGCAACUGACGCUGAGACGCGAAAGCGUGGGGAGCGAACGGG